CCUCACUAAGCUGAAGGAAGAACACACAUUUCCAGGAUGCACUGCCCCAUGGUCUUUCCAACUAUGUGAAAGGAGGCUUUAUUGAGAUUUUAGUUCAUUAGAAGCACAGAAAAAUAUGAGGAAAAUAUAUUUAAGGUCACCCUUGCUCUCCCCACUUCUUCAAAGAUUUCAAGAUUCUACAAACACUAGUGGAAACUUGUUUUGUCAACACAACUUGAUGUCAUCAUUUGAUCAAAGUGAACCUACUCCUCGAAAUCCAGCUAAUAUGAAGAGGGACUGCAUGAGGAAAUUUUUCUAAAAUUCAGGUGGCAAGGCACUGAAGGCUGUUUUCUCAUGAAGCAUAAUGCAAUGAUGUUUUUGAAGCUCAAAUUACUUUGCAAUUCCAGCAAAGCUGUGCUUAAUUUCAUUAUAAAUAUACAACCAGCUGAUUGUGCUUAUUGUGGAUACAUUUACCAAAAGAGCAACUCAUAAAACCACACAAGUAUAACAUAAAGUAACCUUGCAAUAUUGGAUUAGUACCAAUCAAUGAUUCCCAGGAAGGUGUACAUAAAACAGUCCCUUAGAUAUGUAGUUCAGUAGUGGGAAUUCAUUCUGGGACAUUUACCUUUUAAUUUGUUAUAAAAAAUCCCAAACCAGCAUCAGAGAGAUUUCUCUCCAAUCAGCAGGUUUUGAAUAUGUUAACUGGAGAGUUUUUUUUCUUGCAUCUGAAAACAAUUGUCCAAUGUAUGUUUUUCACUAUGCUUUUCUGCCUAAAAGCAAAAAAAUGCUCCCUUGAAGACUCAAGAAAAUGGGUAAAGAAAAGGGACAUUGUUGUGCAGACACCCGAAAUGAUGAUACAGAAAAUUCUUUUCAGUGGACCACCAAAUUUAUCUUGAAUUGACAGAGAAGCAAAAGCAUUGCAGACUGAAGAGUCAUAUUAGUUUUGUGCUUUUCUGUUUUUAUUUCACAUGACAAAAGCUAAGCUUAAAUGUUACAAUUUUGGGAACAUUCUGUGUUAUACACAGAAUCACAAAGAUCCGAACAAAUUUAUCUUCCUAAAUUUUCAUUGUAUUAAAUUCCACAUGGAUGAAAACAAACCUUCCUUGGACCUAUGGAAAGCUGUAGGACUGAAAAUAACAAAGAAAUUGUGGAGAGAUGAGGUGGGACUGGGUUACAGGCUGUGGGAUGUGCCUGCAGAACACCAGGGCAGCACAGAGAAGCUUGUCUCUGACUGACCCUGGGGACAGGAGAUGCGACAAGGCAGAUGUCCCACGGAGAGGAUCACCCCAUGGAAGGACAAGGAAGUGUGUUGGUGGUGUGGCAAUGUGUGAUGGGUCACUCAGUGAAAAACACCCUACAAGAAAAUAUUGUGUCCUUAAGAAGUGUUUAAAGCCAGCUCGUUUCUCUCAAUAAACAUCAGAGUCUGCUCUGCCUCGGUUGCUACAAAUGGUGCUCUGCAUCUGGGCUUUGAUAGGCAGCUUGACAGUGGCUGCACCUGUGACAAUGCUCAGCUGAACUCCAGGGUCACUGAAAGGAAGCCCAGGACUGAAACAAAGCCCAUGGCACUGACUGACCUUUCUGCAGGAAGGAUGGAAGGCAGCUAAGAACUGUGGGGAGCGGUGUAUCCCAGGAACUAAAGAACAUCACGGAGAUGUUGAAACAGAUUUUGGAAAAACAUGGCAGGAAAGUUGAAUCUACAGAUUUGAGCAGACUCUUGUAAUGGGCUAAGGACAGAGUGAUUCAACUUUAGACAGUACCAAUGUACUCAGUGUUUUUGGACAAGGGAUGCUUUAGGGGACACCUUGUGUGACUGAAUUUGUGAGGGCUGGCAGAGCUUUUGGGCUCAUGGUGGACUGUGUGUGAGGUGCUAAUGGCGUAUGUGGCACCUGGAGACCGGGAAAAGAAGGACACUUGUGCUGCCUUGACAGCCAUGGUGGGUCCUUCUGUGCUGCCAUCAAGUGAAACACAAGCCUCCAACCAAGAGGCUGUCGGGGCUGUGGGGGAGCCAGAGCAUGGCCCCUGGUCCCCUGAUCCUGGGGGUGAGCCAGAUUUUUCCCCCCAUAUCCAUGGUUGGUGGGUGGAGGUGAGAAAACAAGCUGCUGCAGAGGGGGAAGUGGAUUUAAAAGAGCUCACGCCACCCCGCGCCAUGUGGGAUCAGCUGGAGCAGGGAUGUAGCAAGCAGUGGGGCAGCCUCAGCAGCACAUUCCCUCUCUGCCUGCCCUCUGUGAGAGUAGCAGCCACAGCGGCGAGGACGUGCAGAGCCACGGUGUCAGAGCGGUGGUGGUGAGCACAUGGCCCAGCAGUGAGCACAUGGCACAGCUUCCACCAGUGAGCACAUG
Long non-coding RNA from Parus major (Great Tit), 2318 nucleotides. RefSeq lists it as uncharacterized. Lineage: Eukaryota; Metazoa; Chordata; Aves; Passeriformes; Paridae. The transcript has 3 exons. The record is from RefSeq and is a predicted model, not a curated record.